Molecule: ribosomal RNA, 528 nt
Filed under: uncultured Lachnospiraceae bacterium
Lineage: Bacteria; Bacillati; Bacillota; Clostridia; Lachnospirales; Lachnospiraceae
Description: bacterial SSU rRNA
Rfam family: Bacterial small subunit ribosomal RNA
Source: RNAcentral
CGUAGAGAGUUUGAGUCCCUGGGCUCAGGAUGAACGGCUGGACGGCGUUGACUUAACACAUGCAAGUCGAACGGGGAUGCCAGUUUUUGAGGCGGUUAGUUUUACUAAGCGCCAAGAUGUCGGCAUCUUAGUGGCGGACGGGUGAGUAACGCGUGGUAACCUGCCUUAUACAGGGGGGAUAACACUUAGGAAAUAGGUGCUAAUACCGCAUAAGCGCACGGGGCUGCAUGGCCCAGUGUGAAAAACUCCGGUGGUAUAAGAUGGACCCGCGUCUGAUUAGCUUGUUGGCGGGGUAACGGCCCACCAAGGCGACGAUCAGUAGCCGGCCUGAGAGGGUGGACGGCCACAUUGGGACUGAGACACGGCCCAAACUCCUACGGGAGGCAGCAGUGGGGAAUAUUGGACAAUGGGGGGAACCCUGAUCCAGCGACGCCGCGUGAGUGAAGAAGUAUUUCGGUAUGUAAAGCUCUAUCAGCAGGGAAGAAAGAAAUGACGGUACCUGACUAAGAAGCUCCGGCUAACUACGUG